ACUUCGUGUCCAAGCAAGAUAAACAUAAGAGGGGUGAUGGAAAGUAAGGGGAUAUUUGGUUCGUAAUCAGAAUCAGAAUGGGAAUGAAAAUCAGAAUGGUUUGAAAUCGGAAUCAGAAUGAUCAAAUAUUUGGUUCGUAAUCGAAAUCGAAAUUAAAAUGAAAAAUUGAAUCCAUAGAGGAAAGUAGGGAUUGAGCUCUAUAUAGAUUGAGCCAUUCCCAUUCCA
Molecule: long non-coding RNA, 225 nt
Filed under: Elaeis guineensis (African oil palm)
Lineage: Eukaryota; Viridiplantae; Streptophyta; Magnoliopsida; Arecales; Arecaceae
Description: long non-coding RNA (EGUI_LNC015513)
Source: RNAcentral